RNAcentral lists this ribosomal RNA (2352 nucleotides) under Escherichia coli PA35. RNAcentral describes it as "bacterial LSU rRNA". It matches the Rfam family "Bacterial large subunit ribosomal RNA", at positions 589 to 2925 of the family's 2925-position model. Lineage: Bacteria; Pseudomonadati; Pseudomonadota; Gammaproteobacteria; Enterobacterales; Enterobacteriaceae. The record is from RNAcentral.
CUGUGUGACUGCGUACCUUUUGUAUAAUGGGUCAGCGACUUAUAUUCUGUAGCAAGGUUAACCGAAUAGGGGAGCCGAAGGGAAACCGAGUCUUAACGGGCGUUAAGUUGCAGGGUAUAGACCCGAAACCCGGUGAUCUAGCCAUGGGCAGGUUGAAGGUUGGGUAACACUAACUGGAGGACCGAACCGACUAAUGUUGAAAAAUUAGCGGAUGACUUGUGGCUGGGGGUGAAAGGCCAAUCAAACCGGGAGAUAGCUGGUUCUCCCCGAAAGCUAUUUAGGUAGCGCCUCGUGAAUUCAUCUCCGGGGGUAGAGCACUGUUUCGGCAAGGGGGUCAUCCCGACUUACCAACCCGAUGCAAACUGCGAAUACCGGAGAAUGUUAUCACGGGAGACACACGGCGGGUGCUAACGUCCGUCGUGAAGAGGGAAACAACCCAGACCGCCAGCUAAGGUCCCAAAGUCAUGGUUAAGUGGGAAACGAUGUGGGAAGGCCCAGACAGCCAGGAUGUUGGCUUAGAAGCAGCCAUCAUUUAAAGAAAGCGUAAUAGCUCACUGGUCGAGUCGGCCUGCGCGGAAGAUGUAACGGGGCUAAACCAUGCACCGAAGCUGCGGCAGCGACACUGUGUGUUGUUGGGUAGGGGAGCGUUCUGUAAGCCUGUGAAGGUGUCUGUGAGGAUGCUGGAGGUAUCAGAAGUGCGAAUGCUGACAUAAGUAACGAUAAAGCGGGUGAAAAGCCCGCUCGCCGGAAGACCAAGGGUUCCUGUCCAACGUUAAUCGGGGCAGGGUGAGUCGACCCCUAAGGCGAGGCCGAAAGGCGUAGUCGAUGGGAAACAGGUUAAUAUUCCUGUACUUGGUGUUACUGCGAAGGGGGGACGGAGAAGGCUAUGUUGGCCGGGCGACGGUUGUCCCGGUUUAAGCGUGUAGGCUGGUUUUCCAGGCAAAUCCGGAAAAUCAAGGCUGAGGCGUGAUGACGAGGCACUACGGUGCUGAAGCAACAAAUGCCCUGCUUCCAGGAAAAGCCUCUAAGCAUCAGGUAACAUCAAAUCGUACCCCAAACCGACACAGGUGGUCAGGUAGAGAAUACCAAGGCGCUUGAGAGAACUCGGGUGAAGGAACUAGGCAAAAUGGUGCCGUAACUUCGGGAGAAGGCACGCUGAUAUGUAGGUGAAGUCCCUCGCGGAUGGAGCUGAAAUCAGUCGAAGAUACCAGCUGGCUGCAACUGUUUAUUAAAAACACAGCACUGUGCAAACACGAAAGUGGACGUAUACGGUGUGACGCCUGCCCGGUGCCGGAAGGUUAAUUGAUGGGGUCAGCGCAAGCGAAGCUCUUGAUCGAAGCCCCGGUAAACGGCGGCCGUAACUAUAACGGUCCUAAGGUAGCGAAAUUCCUUGUCGGGUAAGUUCCGACCUGCACGAAUGGCGUAAUGAUGGCCAGGCUGUCUCCACCCGAGACUCAGUGAAAUUGAACUCGCUGUGAAGAUGCAGUGUACCCGCGGCAAGACGGAAAGACCCCGUGAACCUUUACUAUAGCUUGACACUGAACAUUGAGCCUUGAUGUGUAGGAUAGGUGGGAGGCUUUGAAGUGUGGACGCCAGUCUGCAUGGAGCCGACCUUGAAAUACCACCCUUUAAUGUUUGAUGUUCUAACGUGGACCCGUGAUCCGGGUUGCGGACAGUGUCUGGUGGGUAGUUUGACUGGGGCGGUCUCCUCCUAAAGAGUAACGGAGGAGCACGAAGGUUGGCUAAUCCUGGUCGGACAUCAGGAGGUUAGUGCAAUGGCAUAAGCCAGCUUGACUGCGAGCGUGACGGCGCGAGCAGGUGCGAAAGCAGGUCAUAGUGAUCCGGUGGUUCUGAAUGGAAGGGCCAUCGCUCAACGGAUAAAAGGUACUCCGGGGAUAACAGGCUGAUACCGCCCAAGAGUUCAUAUCGACGGCGGUGUUUGGCACCUCGAUGUCGGCUCAUCACAUCCUGGGGCUGAAGUAGGUCCCAAGGGUAUGGCUGUUCGCCAUUUAAAGUGGUACGCGAGCUGGGUUUAGAACGUCGUGAGACAGUUCGGUCCCUAUCUGCCGUGGGCGCUGGAGAACUGAGGGGGGCUGCUCCUAGUACGAGAGGACCGGAGUGGACGCAUCACUGGUGUUCGGGUUGUCAUGCCAAUGGCACUGCCCGGUAGCUAAAUGCGGAAGAGAUAAGUGCUGAAAGCAUCUAAGCACGAAACUUGCCCCGAGAUGAGUUCUCCCUGACCCUUUAAGGGUCCUGAAGGAACGUUGAAGACGACGACGUUGAUAGGCCGGGUGUGUAAGCGCAGCGAUGCGUUGAGCUAACCGGUACUAAUGAACCGUGAGGCUUAACCUU